UGGGGAAUUUUGGACAAUGGGGGAAACCCUGAUCCAGCCAUCCCGCGUGUGCGAUGAAGGCCUUCGGGUUGUAAAGCACUUUUGGCAGGAAAGAAACGUCAUGGGUUAAUACCCCGUGAAACUGACGGUACCUGCAGAAUAAGCACCGGCUAACUACGUGCCAGCAGCCGCGGUAAUACGUAGGGUGCAAGCGUUAAUCGGAAUUACUGGGCGUAAAGCGUGCGCAGGCGGUUCGGAAAGAAAGAUGUGAAAUCCCAGAGCUCAACUUUGGAACUGCGUUUUUAACUACCGGGCUGGAGGGUGUCAGAGGGAGGUGGAAUUCCGCGUGUAGCAGUGAAAUGCGUAGAUAUGCGGAGGAACACCGAUGGCGAAGGCAGCCUCCUGGGAUAACACUGACGCUCAUGCACGAAAGCGUGGGGAGCAAACAGG
Molecule: ribosomal RNA, 429 nt
Filed under: Acidobacteriota bacterium
Lineage: Bacteria; Pseudomonadati; Acidobacteriota
Description: Acidobacteria bacterium partial 16S ribosomal RNA
Rfam family: Bacterial small subunit ribosomal RNA
Source: RNAcentral